Molecule: ribosomal RNA, 439 nt
Filed under: uncultured Paenibacillus sp.
Lineage: Bacteria; Bacillati; Bacillota; Bacilli; Caryophanales; Paenibacillaceae
Description: bacterial SSU rRNA
Rfam family: Bacterial small subunit ribosomal RNA
Source: RNAcentral
GGAAUCUUCCGCAAUGGGCGAAAGCCUGACGGAGCAAUGCCGCGUGAGUGAUGAAGGUUUUCGGAUCGUAAAGCUCUGUUGCCAGGGAAGAACGCUUGGGAGAGUAACUGCUCUCAAGGUGACGGUACCUGAGAAGAAAGCCCCGGCUAACUACGUGCCAGCAGCCGCGGUAAUACGUAGGGGGCAAGCGUUGUCCGGAAUUAUUGGGCGUAAAGCGCGCGCAGGCGGUCAUUUAAGUCUGGUGUUUAAUCCCGGGGCUCAACCCCGGAUCGCACUGGAAACUGGGUGACUUGAGUGCAGAAGAGGAGAGUGGAAUUCCACGUGUAGCGGUGAAAUGCGUAGAUAUGUGGAGGAACACCAGUGGCGAAGGCGACUCUCUGGGCUGUAACUGACGCUGAGGCGCGAAAGCGUGGGGAGCAAACAGGAUUAGAUACCCUUG